This 893-nucleotide ribosomal RNA is filed under the name uncultured Gammaproteobacteria bacterium. RNAcentral's name for it is "bacterial SSU rRNA". It matches the Rfam family "Bacterial small subunit ribosomal RNA", at positions 8 to 892 of the family's 1533-position model. The record is from RNAcentral. Lineage: Bacteria; Pseudomonadati; Pseudomonadota; Gammaproteobacteria.
AGGGUUUGAUCAUGGCUCAGAUUGAACGCUGGCGGCAGGCUUAACACAUGCAAGUCGAGCGGAAACGAAAGUAGCUUGCUACUAGGCGUCGAGCGGCGGACGGGUGAGUAAUGCUUAGGAAUCUACCGAGUAGUGGGGGAUAGCCAUUGGAAACGAUGAUUAAUACCGCAUAUAUCCUACGGGGGAAAGCAGGGGACCUUCGGGCCUUGCGCUAUUCGAUGAGCCUGAGUGAGAUUAGCUAGUUGGUGGGGUAAAGGCCUACCAAGGCGACGAUCUCUAGCUGGUCUGAGAGGAUGAUCAGCCACACUGGGACUGAGACACGGCCCAGACUCCUACGGGAGGCAGCAGUGGGGAAUAUUGCACAAUGGGCGAAAGCCUGAUGCAGCCAUGCCGCGUGUGUGAAGAAGGCCUUCGGGUUGUAAGGCACUUUCAGCGAGGAGGAAAGGUCAGUAGUUAAUAACUGCUGGCUGUGACGUUACUCGCAGAAGAAGCACCGGCUAAUUUAGUGCCAGCAGCCGCGGUAAUACUAAAGGUGCAAGCGUUAAUCGGAAUUACUGGGCGUAAAGCGCGCGUAGGUGGUUUGUUAAGUUGGAUGUGAAAGCCCAGGGCUCAACCUUGGAACUGCAUUCAAAACUGACUCACUAGAGUACGAGAGAGGUUAGUGGAAUUUCCUGUGUAGCGGUGAAAUGCGUAGAGAUGGGAAGGAACACCAGUGGCGAAGGCGACUGACUGGCUCGAUACUGACACUGAGGUGCGAAAGCGUGGGGAGCAAACGGGAUUAGAUACCCCGGUAGUCCACGCCGUAAACGAUGUCUACUAGCCGUUGGAGGACUUGAUCCUUUAGUGGCGCAGCUAACGCGAUAAGUAGACCGCCUGGGGAGUACGGUCGCAAG